Non-coding RNA from Podarcis lilfordi (Lilford's wall lizard), 78 nucleotides. The record is from the annotation of a GenBank genome assembly. Lineage: Eukaryota; Metazoa; Chordata; Lepidosauria; Squamata; Lacertidae.
GAAAGGGCUGUAGCUCAGUGGUGGAGCAUCUGCCUUGCAUGCGGAAGGUCCCAGGUUCUGCCCUUGACGCCCACUUCU